This 254-nucleotide long non-coding RNA is filed under the name Nicotiana benthamiana. Its description in RNAcentral is "long non-coding RNA (NBEN_LNC007220)". Lineage: Eukaryota; Viridiplantae; Streptophyta; Magnoliopsida; Solanales; Solanaceae. The record is from RNAcentral.
CUUUAAGUUACCCAAAUGUUGACCAAAAACAUCCCUCUGUUAAAUUUACCGUUUAAAUUUGACGGAUCUUGUAUUCUCACGUGACUUCUCUUUUUCCCUCCAUUUUCUCACUAAAUUUUCCCUCUUACCUCCUUUUCACAGAACCAAAAGCCACUUUUGGGAAAAGUUGAGAUAGGUUUUCUAAUGGUUGAACAACUUCUUCUUGGGUGAAGCUCCUUUCAGUGUAAAUUAACAAUCUAGUUGUUGAACCUGUG